GGGUCCUACGGGAGGCAGCAGUGAGGAAUAUUGGUCAAUGGUCGGGAGACUGAACCAGCCAAGCCGCGUGAGGGAUGAAGGUACAGAGUAUCGUAAACCUCUUUUGUCAGGGAACAAAGGCGGGGACGCGUCCCCGGAUGAGUGUACCUGAAGAAAAAGCAUCGGCUAACUCCGUGCCAGCAGCCGCGGUAAUACGGAGGAUGCGAGCGGUAUCCGGAUUUAUUGGGUUUAAAGGGUGCGUAGGCGGGCUGUUAAGUCAGCGGUAAAAAGCCGGGGGUCAAACCCGGCGAGCCCUUGAAAAUGGG
RNAcentral lists this ribosomal RNA (305 nucleotides) under uncultured bacterium. RNAcentral describes it as "bacterial SSU rRNA". It matches the Rfam family "Bacterial small subunit ribosomal RNA", at positions 334 to 637 of the family's 1533-position model. The record is from RNAcentral.